RNAcentral lists this unclassified non-coding RNA (320 nucleotides) under Hevea brasiliensis (rubber tree). Lineage: Eukaryota; Viridiplantae; Streptophyta; Magnoliopsida; Malpighiales; Euphorbiaceae. The record is from RNAcentral.
GAAAAAACCUGAAAACUUCGCCGGAGAAGCUUACAGUAGUGACAAAGUGUACGCUGAGGCCGACAGAGAAGAGGCAGAAAGCGCGAGCACUGGAAGCUAUGGAGUUUGCGGGCGGUCGAGGUCAUUUCAGACGGUGGAGAUGGGCGGCGUUCCGUUUUCCAGCAGGGCGGAGGAAAGAUUGGCUUGGUUGCGUUCUCAGAUUAUAGGUGGAGAAGCAGAGUUUGAUUCUCCAUUUGGAGAAAGACGACUGUGUUAUGCUGAUCAUACAGCUUCUGGUCGUUCUCUACGUUAUAUUGAAGAUUUCAUCCUCAGAAACGUUC